UACGUAGGGUUCAAGCGUUAUCCGGAAUUACUGGGCGUAAAGAGUUGCGUAGGUGGCAAGGUAAGCGACACAUUAAAUCCCACGGCUCAACCGUGGAUUCAUGUAUCGAACUGCCUAGCUUGAGUAUGGGAGAGGUAGAUGGAAUUUCUAGUGUAGGAGUGAAAUCCGUAGAUAUUAGAAGGAACACCGAUGGCGUAGGCAGUCUACUGGCCCAUUACUGACACUAAGGCACGAAAGCGUGGGGAGCGAACGGG
RNAcentral lists this ribosomal RNA (254 nucleotides) under uncultured bacterium. RNAcentral's name for it is "partial 16S ribosomal RNA". It matches the Rfam family "Bacterial small subunit ribosomal RNA", at positions 524 to 776 of the family's 1533-position model. The record is from RNAcentral.